CAGUCGCCGCGGUAACACGUAGGUGGCAAGCGUUGUCCGGAAUUAUUGGGCGUAAAGGGCUCGCAGGCGGUUUCUUAAGUCUGAUGUGAAAGCCCCCGGCUCAACCGGGGAGGGUCAUUGGAAACUGGGAAACUUGAGUGCAGAAGAGGAGAGUGGAAUUCCACGUGUAGCGGUGAAAUGCGUAGAGAUGUGGAGGAACACCAGUGGCGAAGGCGACUCUCUGGUCUGUAACUGACGCUGAGGAGCGAAAGCGUGGGGAGCGAACAGGAUUAGAUACCCCUGUAGUCCCUGUCUCUUAUAA
Molecule: ribosomal RNA, 301 nt
Filed under: uncultured bacterium
Lineage: Bacteria
Description: partial 16S ribosomal RNA
Rfam family: Bacterial small subunit ribosomal RNA
Source: RNAcentral